UAGGGAAUCUUCGGCAAUGGACGAAAGUCUGACCGAGCAACGCCGCGUGAGUGAAGAAGGUUUUCGGAUCGUAAAACUCUGUUGUUAGAGAAGAACAAGGACGUUAGUAACUGAACGUCCCCUGACGGUAUCUAACCAGAAAGCCACGGCUAACUACGUGCCAGCAGCCGCGGUAAUACGUAGGUGGCAAGCGUUGUCCGGAUUUAUUGGGCGUAAAGCGAGCGCAGGCGGUUUCUUAAGUCUGAUGUGAAAGCCCCCGGCUCAACCGGGGAGGGUCAUUGGAAACUGGGAGACUUGAGUGCAGGAGAGGGGACUGCAAUUCCAUGUGUAGCGGUGAAAUACGUAUAUAUCUGGAGGAACACCAGUGGCGAAGGCGGCUCUCUGGUCUGUAACUGACGAUGAGGCUCGAAAGCGUGGGGAGCAAACAGG
This 429-nucleotide ribosomal RNA is filed under the name Gemmatimonadota bacterium. Its description in RNAcentral is "Gemmatimonadetes bacterium partial 16S ribosomal RNA". It matches the Rfam family "Bacterial small subunit ribosomal RNA", at positions 355 to 776 of the family's 1533-position model. The record is from RNAcentral. Lineage: Bacteria; Pseudomonadati; Gemmatimonadota.